This is a transfer RNA of Bartonella tamiae Th239, 92 nucleotides long. It matches the Rfam family "Selenocysteine transfer RNA". Lineage: Bacteria; Pseudomonadati; Pseudomonadota; Alphaproteobacteria; Hyphomicrobiales; Bartonellaceae. The record is from Rfam.
GGAAGGGCUUUUCAUCCGGUGAUGAGUGCGGCCUUCAAAGCCGUAAGGGGCCGUGAGACGGUCUUUGGUGGGUUCGACUCCCAUGCUCUUCC